UACGUAGGGGGCAAGCGUUGUCCGGAAUUACUGGGCGUAAAGCGCGCGUAGGCGGGCUGUUAAGUUAGGGGUGAAAGCCCGGAGCUCAACUCCGGAAUUGCCUUUGAUACUGGCAGCCUAGAGGCCGAGAGAGGUGAGUGGAACUCCGAGUGUAGAGGUGAAAUUCGUAGAUAUUCGGAGGAACACCAGUGGCGAAGGCGGCUCACUGGCCCGAAACUGACGCUGAGGCGCGAAAGCGUGGGGAGCAAACAGG
RNAcentral lists this ribosomal RNA (253 nucleotides) under uncultured bacterium. RNAcentral describes it as "partial 16S ribosomal RNA". It matches the Rfam family "Bacterial small subunit ribosomal RNA", at positions 524 to 776 of the family's 1533-position model. The record is from RNAcentral.